UACGGGGGGAGCAAGCGUUGUUCGGAUUUACUGGGCGUAAAGGGCGCGUAGGCGGCGUGACAAGUCACUUGUGAAAUCUCCGGGCUUAACUCGGAACGGUCAAGUGAUACUGUCGGGCUAGAGUACAGAAGGGGCAACUGGAAUUCUCGGUGUAGCGGUGAAAUGCGUAGAUAUCGAGAGGAACACCUGCGGCGAAGGCGGGUUGCUGGGCCGACACUGACGCUGAGGCGCGAAAGCCAGGGGAGCGAACGGG
Molecule: ribosomal RNA, 253 nt
Filed under: uncultured bacterium
Lineage: Bacteria
Description: partial 16S ribosomal RNA
Rfam family: Bacterial small subunit ribosomal RNA
Source: RNAcentral